CCUACGGGAGGCAGCAGUGGGGGAUAUUGCACAAUGGGGGAAACCCUGAUGCAGCGACGCCGCGUGUGGGAAGACGGUCUUCUGGAUUGUAAACCACUGUCCCCAGGGACGAAAAUGACGGUACCUGGGGAGGAAGCUCCGGCUAACUACGUGCCAGCAGCCGCGGUAAUACGUAGGGAGCAAGCGUUGUCCGGAAGUACUGGGUGAAAAGGGAGCGUAGGCGGGGAUUAAAGUUGGGUGUCAAAACUACCGGCUCAACCGAUAGUCGCACUUAAAACUGCAACUCUUGAGUGAAGUAGAGGCAGGCGGAAUUCCUGGUGUAGCGGUGAAAUGCGUAGAUAUUAGGAGGAACACCAGUGGCGAAGGCGGCCUGCUGGGCGUUUACUGACGCUGAGGCUCGAAAGUGUGGGGAGCAAACAGGAUUAGAUACCCGAGUAGUC
Molecule: ribosomal RNA, 440 nt
Filed under: uncultured bacterium
Lineage: Bacteria
Description: partial 16S ribosomal RNA
Rfam family: Bacterial small subunit ribosomal RNA
Source: RNAcentral